RNAcentral lists this transfer RNA (70 nucleotides) under Stegodyphus mimosarum. It matches the Rfam family "tRNA". Rfam says of the family: Transfer RNA (tRNA) molecules are approximately 80 nucleotides in length. Their secondary structure includes four short double-helical elements and three loops (D, anti-codon, and T loops). Further hydrogen bonds mediate the characteristic L-shaped molecular structure. tRNAs have two regions of fundamental functional importance: the anti-codon, which is responsible for specific mRNA codon recognition, and the 3' end, to which the tRNAs corresponding amino acid is attached (by aminoacyl-tRNA synthetases). tRNAs cope with the degeneracy of the genetic code in two manners: having more than one tRNA (with a specific anti-codon) for a particular amino acid; and 'wobble' base-pairing, i.e. permitting non-standard base-pairing at the 3rd anti-codon position. Lineage: Eukaryota; Metazoa; Arthropoda; Arachnida; Araneae; Eresidae. The record is from Rfam by way of RNAcentral.
GCCUUCGUGGUGUAACGGUAGAACACCCGGCGCGUAUUCAAGAGUCCAGGUUCGAGUCCCGGCGAGGGCA